RNAcentral lists this transfer RNA (73 nucleotides) under Candidozyma haemuli. RNAcentral's name for it is "[Candida] haemuloni tRNA-Asp". It matches the Rfam family "tRNA". From Rfam's summary of the family: Transfer RNA (tRNA) molecules are approximately 80 nucleotides in length. Lineage: Eukaryota; Fungi; Ascomycota; Pichiomycetes; Serinales; Metschnikowiaceae. The record is from RNAcentral.
UCCGAGAUAGUUUAGUGGCUAGAAUUACCGCUUGUCGCGCGGUAGACCGGGGUUCAAUUCCCCGUCUCGGAGC